CAAACAAAGAGAGAGAGAGAGAGAAAGAGAGAGAGCAAGGAAGGUAGUUUUUGGAAAAGCAGAAUGUAGAGGAAGAAGAUCGAUCUAAUAAUCUUCUUCUAAGAUGGCUUCUCUUUCUUCUUAUGAAAGAUGGCUAGCUCUCAGCACGGGCA
This is a long non-coding RNA of Telopea speciosissima, 152 nucleotides long. RefSeq lists it as uncharacterized. The record is from RefSeq and is a predicted model, not a curated record. Lineage: Eukaryota; Viridiplantae; Streptophyta; Magnoliopsida; Proteales; Proteaceae. The transcript has 4 exons.